Octodon degus (degu) is the source of this 1452-nucleotide long non-coding RNA. RefSeq lists it as uncharacterized. The record is from RefSeq and is a predicted model, not a curated record. The transcript has 3 exons. NCBI's taxonomy places the organism in Eukaryota, Metazoa, Chordata, Mammalia, Rodentia, Octodontidae.
GCUUGGGAUAAGCAGAAUAGAUCCCAUCUCAGGCAAGACAAAACAAAACGAGCAGAAAUCCUUCUGUUUGGGACUGAACAAGACCGAAGUCAUCAGGCAGGUGGGAGUGCAGUGCACAGCCCUAGAGGCUGAGGCAGGAAGGUGUGGAGUGCAGGGCCAGGCGACACAGCGACAGCCCGUCUCAAGACAAGCCAAGACAUCCUCAGCUCCUGAAGCUUACUCAGGGGCUCAGCCCGGAGAGCUCCGGUGCUUUCAGCCUGGCAGACAAAGGCAAGGCUUCUGUGACAGGAGGUACAGGUGACAGAUUCGCAGCUCCAUUUAUAUGUCCUAAAAAUGCCCCUGUAAACCGCUCUUCCCUCAAAAUCUAAAGCUUCUGCACCCAGCCCUGGGCCCUGCAGGCUCCUCCCAGGCUCUGCGGGCCGCGGAGCAGGGCAUUCCGGCCACGCAGCGCUGGAAGCCUCUGGCUGCAGCGCCAGGUGCGGCCGGCCUUGGACGCGAGGCCGCAUUCCUGGGAUUCCUGCCGGGGACCGCCCCCUGGCUGGGGCCCCUGGUCCCCACUCCCUGCCGGGCCUGCUUCCGGGGGCCAAGGCUGCGCUCCCAGCCGCCUGGAGGCCGAGCGCCGUCCCGGGGACACGGGCCUUCCGAUGCCGCUGGGUGGUCACCAAGAGCGGCUGUGGGCUUGCCCCAUCCCCCUCCUUCCGCUGUCACCCUGGGCGCCGCACAGAGGCCGGCUGAUCGGGUGGAGGCAGUUGUCCGAAAGCCCGCAAACAGCAUGGAGGAGCUCCAGGCCCACAUGAUCUCGUCCCUUCCAAGGCGGAGGACAGCAAGAUAAGAAAUGGACAGCAACAUUCAGCUGCCGAGGAGCGAGAAGCCUCUGCUCACCCUGAGCCUGCAGCCAACUCGGAUUCCAGCACAGCCUCAGCAAAACCCGAGGCUGCCUGGCAGGAGGAAGCUCCCCCAGGAGGCCGGAUGGGACAUGAAGCUGUCCCUCCCUUGAUGGGUGAUAAUGGAUGACAAGCACCUCUAAAAGGUAGCCCCAGAGCCUUCCAGAUCCUGCAUCGCCCACCUUUCCCGCCUUUGCGAGGCCCUGUCCCCCAGGCUGCAAUUCCUGGACCCCAAGAAAAGGACUUUGCUUCUGCCGGUUCGGAGUUUGCAUUGGGCCCCAGGGGGCCGGGCACAGCAUGUCCCCAAGGACACUCUGCAUUGGUGUCUGUCCCCCCCUCCAGGUAUCAGCAUGCCAGAGACAACGGGGAGCCCCACAUGCUCCAGCUGUGAGCACGAGAGAGUCACAGCAGUCCGUCCCUGAGUGGGCAAGACAACGGCCUGAACCCGCCAAACCUGGGGCCAACGCCUUCCUGCAGAAAGCACGCGCGACCGGAGAGCCCUUUAAGACAUUUCGCCUGCCGAGGUUUUCUGACCCUCGCCGCCGCCCGUCGCCCCGCCCCCGACGUC